AAGGGCCUUCUGAACAGCCUCAGCUGCCGCGUGCCUUCUGUCUGCUGCGGGCACAGCAGCUGCACAGACCCCUCUUGUUGGGAGACAAGACAGGAUCCUUUCAGUCGUGUGACCUCUGCCUCCUCUCCAAUGAGUGCAAGGGAGAAAGAGAUGUCCAGAGCUGACCUCCCGGUACAAAGUCGUACAACCUGGUUAAGCGGGAAAAUAUGGGUGCAAAAAGAAUAAAGAGUGA
Prionailurus viverrinus (fishing cat) is the source of this 232-nucleotide long non-coding RNA. RefSeq lists it as uncharacterized. NCBI's taxonomy places the organism in Eukaryota, Metazoa, Chordata, Mammalia, Carnivora, Felidae. The record is from RefSeq and is a predicted model, not a curated record. The transcript has 3 exons.